CCCUUAGAUGUUCUGGGCCGCACGCGCGCUACACUGACGAAUUCAACGAGUUUAUAACCUUUGCUGGGAGGCAUGGGUAAUCUUGUGAACGUUCGUCGUGAUGGGGAUAGAUUAUUGCAAUUGUUAAUCUUCGACGAGGAAUUCCUAGUAAACGCAAGUCAUCAGCUUGCAUUGAUUACGUCCCUGCCCUUUGUACACACCGCCCGUCGCACCUACCGAUUGAAUGGUCCGGUGAAUUCUUCGGACUGCGGCUUUGACUCGAUUUCGGUCGAGGCGUUGCUGCGGGAAGUUGAUUAAACCUUACCAUUUAGAGGAAGGUGAAGUCGUAACA
Molecule: ribosomal RNA, 331 nt
Filed under: uncultured eukaryote
Lineage: Eukaryota
Description: partial 18S ribosomal RNA
Rfam family: Eukaryotic small subunit ribosomal RNA
Source: RNAcentral